GUGUUGUGAAAUGUUGGGUAAAGUACCGCAACGAGCGGAACCCUUGUCCUUAGUAGCCAGCGAGUAAUGUUGGGCACUCUAAGGAGACUGCCGGUGACAAACCGGAGGAAGGUGGGGAUGACGUCAAGUCAUCAUGGCCCUUACGGCUGGGCUACACACGUGCUACAAUGGCAGUACAAAGGGAAGCAACUCGCGAGAGCCAGCCCCCCUCAAAAACCGAUCGUAGUCCGGAUCGCAGUCUGCAACUCGAAUGCAUGAAGUCGGAAUCGCUAGUAAAAAGUAGAUCAGAAUGCGCGGGAAUACUUCCCGGGCCCCCUUUCGGCCACCUUCACCCCAUGGGAAGGCUGCCGCAAGCCUUUUCCUAACCUUCAGGAGGGCGCUUACCACUUUGUGAUUCAUGACUGGGGGAAAUUCGUAUCCAGAACCCCCGC
This 431-nucleotide ribosomal RNA is filed under the name Rahnella sp. SS60. Its description in RNAcentral is "bacterial SSU rRNA". It matches the Rfam family "Bacterial small subunit ribosomal RNA", at positions 1062 to 1505 of the family's 1533-position model. The record is from RNAcentral. Lineage: Bacteria; Pseudomonadati; Pseudomonadota; Gammaproteobacteria; Enterobacterales; Yersiniaceae.